GUAAGUUUCAAAAUUUUCUUUUUUGCUGCUACAGAUGGAAGCGCCUUCUAUUUCUCAAAACAAGUGAAGCGUAAGAAAUAGAAGGAAUCAUCUCUGCUCCAGUUACAGUUUCCUGUCAACUCAGCAGAGAUGAGAGAAGAAUCUAUGAUUUUGAAAGGAAACAGUUUGAGUCUUUUGAAUGAAUUUGAGCUCAUUCUGGAAUCUGAUCCUCUCAUUGAUGAAGUAGGAUUUAUUCACCCAUCCCAAUUUGUCACAUUAAAUAAAGAAGCAAGCAGCUCCUUGGAACAUGAAGAUGCAAAUUUUUGGAGCAGGGAUCAUAAGCUUGCAAUUUCGACAGAUGUUCUCCUUCCUUUGUAUAAGGCGGUCAAAGAUGUGUUUAUGCAUGCAAUUAGCCAAUAUAAGAGCCAUGAGAAUCUAUCUGAUGCAUCUUGGGAUGAGGGUAAUCUUGAAAGUGAGGUCAUGAAGCACAGCAAGGCGCUUUUAUUGUUAAGCUGUGACUUUGGGACUGCAUGGAAUUUCAGGAAGUUAAUUGUGUCAAAGAAGCAGCACAUGUUGAUAUUCUUGGAUGAACUUUUCUUGUCGGCCCUAGUCCUUUCAUGCUCUCCCAAAAGUGAAAAGGCAUGGUGCCACAGGCGGUGGGUGAUCAAGAUGCUUGCUGGAAAAUGUUCAACCAUGCAAGUUAUUGUAGGGAAAGAAUCUGAGCUAGUGGAGAAAAUAGCUGAGAGAUCAAAAAUGAAUUAUCGUGCAUGGAAUCAUCGUUGCUGGUUAGUUUCAUACAUGACAACAGAACAGGUGCUGCAUGAGUUGAAGAAAUCCAGAAACUGGGCUGGAUUACAUGUUGCUGAUAAUUCUUGCUUUCAUUAUCGCACUCGGCUGAUGCUCAGGAUCAGGGAGGAUCACUGCCAUAAACUAGAAGAUGGAACAUCUGAUGGAAAUGAUGAAAUUUAUCGAAUCUGGCAGGAGGAGCUUGAUUGGAAUGAAGCAUUGAUUAAGUGUUAUGUAGGAAGAGAGGCUUUGUGGCUUCAUCGUCGUUUCCUCUCCUUGUCUUGGAUAAGGCAUUUCACAACUAAUGUUGGUGAUACAUCUAACUACCGUGUAUGUAAAUCCAGCAUAAAUGCUGACAUUGGUGUCUUUAUGGAUAAUGAGUUGCAUCUCGCAAAUUCCUGCUCAACAAUACCUGAUAAUGAGUUUGAGGAUUUUCAAGCACAGGCAAUAUAUUCCGCAACUUACAUAUUAUGGCUGACAAAGGUACAAAUCUCCGAUUCCCAGGGAAUUGAGCUCCAAGAAAAGCCAAAUCUUGGAAGCCUGAGGACCAUGCUGAAUACGGCGUGUCCUGAAAGAUCGUCUCUUUGGGACAUCUCAACAAGGAUAUCUGGGAAGUGUGACGAGGGCUUGAAGGAGAAUAGGUAUCAACGUAGAUAGAUAAAUCUGUUAUACAGUGUUAGGACCAUAUUCUUUCUACGUUGCCCAGAUGGUAACUGUUGCCUGCUCAAGUGGGGACUUGAAUCCAGAGUUCUAAUCCUUUUUGCUUCACGAGUCUAUUGGCGUGAAGCAUGUGAAUCCUCAAGUCUUGAACUGUAGACUGUAUUCUUGAUUUUAGACAAAACCACAACCACCUGCCUGGCAUGUGAUUCAUUUUUUUAAUUAAAAUAAUAACUUUUUUCAUUUUUUU
Populus euphratica (Euphrates poplar) is the source of this 1672-nucleotide RNA transcript. It is a transcript of the gene named Protein prenylyltransferase superfamily protein, with no coding region annotated. Lineage: Eukaryota; Viridiplantae; Streptophyta; Magnoliopsida; Malpighiales; Salicaceae. The record is from RefSeq and is a predicted model, not a curated record. The transcript is spliced from 12 exons.